Molecule: ribosomal RNA, 325 nt
Filed under: Metriomantis sp. MN543
Lineage: Eukaryota; Metazoa; Arthropoda; Insecta; Mantodea; Mantidae
Description: partial 12S ribosomal RNA
Source: RNAcentral
AGUUAUGAUCUUUAAACUUAAAGAAUUUGGCGGUAUUAUAGUCUAUUUAGAGGAAUCUGUUAUGUAAUCGAUAGACCACGUUGAACCUUACUUAUAUAAUUUUUUUUGUAUAUCGUUGUUUAAGUGAAUAUUUUUAGAUUAAUUUUCUUAAUAUAUAAAUAAUUAGAAUUUCAAAUCAAGGUGCAGUAAUAUAUAAGUUGAGUAAUGGAUUACAAUAAAUUAUAUUUAAAUGAAUAAUUAUUGGAAUAAUAAUUUGAAGGUGGAUUUAAUAGUAAUCUUAUAAAGAUUAAUAAGUUGAUUAAGCUCUAUAAUAUGUACACAUCGC